UUUUAAUGAUGAUUUAAUAUAAAAAAAAAGCACAUUUGUUAGAACAGAAUAAAAAGUGUGUUGAAUUUUGUUAGUUUCUGAAA
Molecule: small nucleolar RNA, 83 nt
Filed under: Plasmodium falciparum 3D7
Lineage: Eukaryota; Apicomplexa; Aconoidasida; Haemosporida; Plasmodiidae
Description: Pfa-snoR06
Source: RNAcentral